This 254-nucleotide ribosomal RNA is filed under the name uncultured bacterium. RNAcentral's name for it is "partial 16S ribosomal RNA". It matches the Rfam family "Bacterial small subunit ribosomal RNA", at positions 524 to 776 of the family's 1533-position model. The record is from RNAcentral.
UACGUAGGGGGCAAGCGUUGUCCGGAUUUAUUGGGCGUAAAGAGCUCGUAGGCGGUUUGGUAAGUCUGGUGUGAAAUCUCCACGCUCAACGUGGAGGGGCCACCCGAUACUGCCAUGACUGGAGUCCGGUAGAGGAGUGUGGAAUUCCCGGUGUAGCGGUGAAAUGCGCAGAUAUCGGGAGGAACACCGGUGGCGAAGGCGGUUCUCUGGGCCUGUACUGACGCUGAGGAGCGAAAGCGUGGGGAGCGAACAGG